UACGGAGGGUGCAAGCGUUGUCCGGAUUUAUUGGGUUUAAAGGGUGCGUAGGUGGUUUAUUAAGUCAGUGGUGAAAGACGGUCGCUUAACGAUUGCAGUGCCAUUGAUACUGGUAGACUUGAGUUUUGUUAAGGUAGGCGGAAUUGAUAGUGUAGCGGUGAAAUGCAUAGAUAUUAUCAAGAACUCCAAUUGCGUAGGCAGCUUACUGGGCAAAAACUGACACUGAGGCACGAAAGUGUGGGUAUCAAACAGG
This 253-nucleotide ribosomal RNA is filed under the name uncultured bacterium. Its description in RNAcentral is "partial 16S ribosomal RNA". It matches the Rfam family "Bacterial small subunit ribosomal RNA", at positions 524 to 776 of the family's 1533-position model. The record is from RNAcentral.